RNAcentral lists this transfer RNA (56 nucleotides) under Ovis aries (sheep). It matches the Rfam family "tRNA", at positions 9 to 63 of the family's 71-position model. Rfam says of the family: Transfer RNA (tRNA) molecules are approximately 80 nucleotides in length. The record is from Rfam by way of RNAcentral. Lineage: Eukaryota; Metazoa; Chordata; Mammalia; Artiodactyla; Bovidae.
GGCUCAGAGGUUAAAGUGUCUGCCUGGAAUGCAGGAGACCCAGGUUCGAUCCCUGG